Molecule: ribosomal RNA, 468 nt
Filed under: uncultured bacterium
Lineage: Bacteria
Description: partial 16S ribosomal RNA
Rfam family: Bacterial small subunit ribosomal RNA
Source: RNAcentral
GACGAACGCUGGCGGCGUGCUUAACACAUGCAAGUCGAACGGAAAGGCCCUGCUUUUGUGGGGUGCUCGAGUGGCGAACGGGUGAGUAACACGUGAGUAACCUGCCCUUGACUUUGGGAUAACUUCAGGAAACUGGGGCUAAUACCGGAUAGGAGCUCCUGCUGCAUGGUGGGGGUUGGAAAGUUUCGGCGGUUGGGGAUGGACUCGCGGCUUAUCAGCUUGUUGGUGGGGUAGUGGCUUACCAAGGCUUUGACGGGUAGCCGGCCUGAGAGGGUGACCGGCCACAUUGGGACUGAGGGACGGCCCAGACUCCUACGGUAGGCAGCAGUGGGGAAUAUUGCACAAUGGGCGGAAGCCUGAUGCAGCAACGCCGCGUGCGGGAUGACGGCCUUCGGGUUGUAAACCGCUUUCGCCUGUGACGAAGCGUGAGUGACGGUAAUGGGUAAAGAAGCACCGGCUAACUACGUG